UAAGAUACAACAAUGGCUUUCUGUUCAAUUCUGACUCUGCUGCUCUGUGGUGUAGGUAAGUAGUGUUCAUUCAGGAUAUUAUUCAACUGUAAGAAAAACCCUGAACUGUAUUAUAAGCUUUGCUUGGUCGUUUCAUACAUGUGAGAUUUCUAAUCAUUCUUAUUUUCUAAGAUUUCUGUAUGAUGGUUAGGCUGAAAUGUUACACAGUUGGCCAGUCUUAUAUAAAGUUUAGAUUUUAAGUCUAAUGUUUUGUAGUACUAAGCUUUCUUACUAAGAUUACUGUUAACCAAUAUUGAUCUUUUUGUUAUAGAUGUAUGGACCUUUUUUAACAGAUGCAAACGAUAAAGAAUGGUUUGACGACAAUCAUGUUUCAUCAGUGUUUGAUCAGCAGUGUUUCAUCAACAGGGAUUGAUCUGCAGGGUUUAUUUAGCAGUGCUAAACUGUCAUUGUGGGUUGCAGGUUUGUUCCCAGUGUCUCUGUACUCUCAAAACACUCAGAUAGCAGAACCUGGUGUUGAUGUCACUAUGUGGUGCCAACACAGCCUGCAUGGCUCAGGUUCCAUAUUCUGGAUCAAACAGACAAGUAACUCUGUACCACAAAGUGUUGCAUGUAAAACUCACAAAUCUAAAAACUGUUACUUCUUCACUCCAAACAAUCAAACUGUGAUGUCUGUGAAUGACAAGAAUGCCUCUCUCACCAUCACUGGUUGAGGACUGUAUUACUGCAGUUUGCUGCUAAAUGAUAAAAUAACCUUUAGCAACACAACAUAUUUACAUGUCAAAGGUAAUAAUCUAAUCUGAGGAUAUUUCAUUACUCAUGUACUGCAUUUAUUGAACCACCUGAGUUAACCAGGAACAUUGCCAUUGUUUUUAAAUAACACACUGGUCAAACCACUGCAGACCUAAACAUGUUUGAAACACACAUUUCGUUAGGUUUUAAAUAUUUAAGGCAUAUUUAUGCAAAUAGCAAAGAAGAACAUUGCAUUUUACCAUAUUAGAUUAUUCAGCCUGUAAAAAUAUUGAUUCAUUUUGUAGACAGAAAUGAAACACCUGAGAGCAUCAACAUAACUAAAGAAGGUUUGCCAUUUCUCUUUUCCUAGUUUGCAUGCUUGUCCUGUUCUUGGAUUAGUAGACAGUUGGUUUUACACUCAGUCACCAGAUUGUAGGAUUGAUGUGCAUUUCCCAUUGUAUAUCCUUGUUGUUUUCUGUGUAUAUCUGUGUAUCAAUUGAACUUAAUGGGCAAAACUUGCUGACUUAAAUGUAAUAAUGUUCUCAUUUUUUCUAAGGUGACUGUGUGGGUUUAUUCACUCUCACUGUGGCGUUUGGUGCAGCGAUAGUGAUUCUCCUCAGUUCCCUUCUUAUCAUCUAUAACAAACAGAAGAACGGAAAAGACAUGAAGGAUGGUAACCUUGACAUCCUACGCACAAAACAGGAGCAACAGCAUGACCUGAUGAACUACAUUACCCACAAAACCCACACAUCAGGGACACAUAGAGAAGAGGUGCAUACCCAUGUUAUAAAUUAUUCUACCAGACUAACAGUAGCUUAGCAUGUUGAUGUAACAUAAUAUUCAUUACUGAACAGUAAUGUGGAUGUUUAUGUGUUGGUUGUGCUUUGGUAAACAACACAAACUAAAAUAGAAUGUCAUGGAGGAGGUAAAGGUGUAUUGCUCUUUAGGAAUUACAAAUAUGUAAUGCCAAAGUAAAAUUUGAAAUUUGUUUAUUGAGCUGUAAAUCCAUGAGGUAGGAUAUUCAUGUGGACAUGUUUGGAUCAACAGUCCUAUAAAAUCAACAUGUAAACUGAAUUAGGUGAGUCUUAAAAUAGGGUCUCUAAAAUAUAACAUUGUUUUCAUAAUGAUAGGCGAGACUGUACGACUAUGUUCUAAAGUUUGGCAACUUUUCAAGCUGAGUAUAUUGUAUUUCGAGUUGAGUAAACUUUUUACGAGUAUAACUGUACAUGUUCACACACCAGUGUUACCAUACGAAGGACCACAUUUGUACACAAAUGAUAACAAGCUUACAGCUUUCAAAACACAAACUCACUGUAGUGUUUGAAAGUUAUGUGCUAUGAGAAAUUAUAUUAGGCUAUUAUUACAUGUGAGUAAAUCUGCUCAAUUUCUAUGAAAUAUGGCAUGUGACAGAAUACAGUCAUUCAUCUGUUAUGCUGACUGUUGACAUUUUGAAACAUUUUUUAAAAAUGUA
Molecule: non-coding RNA, 2200 nt
Organism: Electrophorus electricus (electric eel)
Lineage: Eukaryota; Metazoa; Chordata; Actinopteri; Gymnotiformes; Gymnotidae
Source: RefSeq, a predicted model, not a curated record